GCUUAGCCUUAAACCUAGAUGAAGUUUUUACAAAUUCAUCCGCCAGGGUACUACAAGCGCUAGCUUAAAACCCAAAGGACUUGACGGUGUCUCAGACCCGCCUAGAGGAGCCUGUUCUAGAACCGAUAAUCCUCGUUAAACCUCACCACCCCUUGUUCUCUCCGCCUAUAUACCGCCGUCGCAAGCUUACCCUGUGAAGGUCCCAUAGUAAGCAAAAUGGUUACACACCAAAACGUCAGGUCGAGGUGUAGCUCACGAGGUGGGAAGAAAUGGGCUACAUUUUCUAUAUCAGAAUAAUACGAAUAGUACUAUGAAAUUAGUAAUUGAAGGUGGAUUUAGUAGUAAAAAACAAAUAGAGAGUCUUUUUGAAUCAGGCUCUGAGACGCGC
Molecule: ribosomal RNA, 388 nt
Filed under: Phenacogaster calverti
Lineage: Eukaryota; Metazoa; Chordata; Actinopteri; Characiformes; Characidae
Description: partial 12S ribosomal RNA
Rfam family: Bacterial small subunit ribosomal RNA
Source: RNAcentral